AACGGUGUAGUUUAGUGGUAAAACGUAGGCCAAACCUUGGAAUUUAUUUCCAUAACCACGGCUGUGCAUUUCGGCGGUUCGAAUCCGCCCGCCGUUU
Molecule: transfer RNA, 97 nt
Filed under: Eubacterium sp.
Lineage: Bacteria; Bacillati; Bacillota; Clostridia; Eubacteriales; Eubacteriaceae
Description: tRNA-OTHER
Rfam family: tRNA
About the family: Transfer RNA (tRNA) molecules are approximately 80 nucleotides in length. Their secondary structure includes four short double-helical elements and three loops (D, anti-codon, and T loops).
Source: RNAcentral